Molecule: ribosomal RNA, 403 nt
Filed under: uncultured bacterium
Lineage: Bacteria
Description: bacterial SSU rRNA
Rfam family: Bacterial small subunit ribosomal RNA
Source: RNAcentral
UAGGGAAUAUUAGUAAUGGGCGAAAGCCUGAACUAGCAACGCCGCGUGUGCGAAGAAGGUCUUCGGGUUGUAAAGCACUUUUUGAGAGGAUGAGGAAGGACGGUACUCUCAGAAUACGUCUCGGCUAACUACGUGCCAGCAGCCGCGGUAACACGUAGGAGGCGAACGUUGUCCGGAUUUACUGGGCGUAAAGUGCGUGUAGGUGGUGUGGUAAGUAGGGCGUGAAAGCUCCUGGCUCAGCUGGGAGAGGCCGUUCUAAACUGCCGAACUAGAGGAUGGUAGAGGGAGGUGGAAUUCCGGGUGUAGCGGUGGGAUGCGCAGAUAUCCGGAGGAACACCAGUGGCGAAAGCGGCCUCCUGGACCAUUCCUGACACUCAGACGCGAAAGCUAGGGUAGCAAACGG